RNAcentral lists this long non-coding RNA (12778 nucleotides) under Jatropha curcas. RNAcentral's name for it is "long non-coding RNA (JCUR_LNC002547)". Lineage: Eukaryota; Viridiplantae; Streptophyta; Magnoliopsida; Malpighiales; Euphorbiaceae. The record is from RNAcentral.
UAAAGUCGGUUUGCUUAAUGGUUCCAACUCCUCCAUCUCCCUGAAGAAGCACGAUGCUUUUGAUGGACUGGGGGAGAAUUUUAGGGGCAUAGACAUGAGCUUCAAGGAGUAAGGCCUUGUACAACUUGGCUGGGGGGACUGCAGUAGCAAUCUCAGUCUGAGUAGUAAGAAUAGCCAUAGUCGAUCGGUAAUCCUUAAUUUGAAACAAAGUAAAAAUAUAGAAGAAGGUAUUAGGAAAUGUAUAUUUGGUGUUUGUGGCGAAAAAUGCAAGAGCUAAGGGAGGUAUUUAUACACAGAUAACAAAGGAUUUGGCAUUCACUCGCACUUGAGUCAAAAUGUGCAGGUUUGUAAUAUAAAUGUAAAUGCUAUCUUGAUUUGUUUUUGUUUAGCAUUUUUACAUUGCAGGUCUCUUGGCGCAGCUUGUUUCCUUUGACCAAGUGUAAUGGCGCUGGACAUAAAUUAUUCAAUUGAGGAUCAUGAUGUUAUUAAUUAUUAUUAUGGGUGCAUACCUUCAAGAUAUAUAUAAAUUAAGGUUCUUUAUUAUUAAUAAUAUUGUUCAAUUUCUUUCUAGAUGGUCCAUUUUGACGGUGCUACAUUGUAACAUAUUGUUACCUUUAUACACUUGGUUUGGAAUGGGCCUUUCCCUUCAGACAGCGCACAUUCCAUACGAGGAUUUCAUGGAGCAGCACAAUUUUGUCGCUCCUAAGCAACGUGGGACGCAUUAAGUACGUAUCGUCAUUUUUUUAACAAUUAAUAACAAAAAUAAGAUUUUAAAUGCCUUUGAGUAUCAAAUCACAACUAGUUAUUCACAUUUAUAGAUUUAAAAAAUAUAUUUUUUUAAUUUAUAGAGUAGUCGUCCUUAAAAAAUAUCUGUAGUCAAAAGGAUUUGAAAUUAAGAUCUCCCGCUCUUUACAUAAGUGAAAAAACAAAUCAGACCAUCACCUGAUUGACCGUAAAUUUAAAAAUAUUACACUUGAAAAAUGUGUAAUUAAAAUAAUUAAGAAAUUUAUUAUUUUUAUUUAAUGAAUAAUAAUUGACUAUAUUAUUAAUACAAAAAAUUACAACAAUUAGAAUUUAUCAAUCCUAACUCCGUUAAAAUCUAACUCCGUCCCUGAUCAUCUUCUUUACUCUGAUAAAUUUUUUUCAUAUUCAUGACUUUCAGUAAGAUAGUAAGAAUUCAACUAAUGGUUAGAUGAAGAGGUUAGAAGUAGAAUAAUUUACUUGAAUAUAAUAAGUGUUCCUUUCGUAAAUUAUAAAUGCUAAAUUUUGCUUUUUCAUUUUUUUCAUAAUUGGAUAUGUAAUUCGAUUUGAAAUUGAUUUUUAAGUCAAUUUAGAUCAUAAAAGUUGAAUUUAUAAUUAAUUUAUCCUUUUUUUUUUUUCAAAAAGUAGUAAGAUAUUUAUAGACCAUGGAACUUGCAUGAUAAGAAUUUUUAAUGUUAGAGUACCAUUAAUUAUGAAAUAUUCCAGCUCAAUUUAUAUUGAAAGCCGCCUAGUAAUAAUAUUUUAAUUUAUUUUAUUGUAAAAUUAAUUAUUAACAUAAUCUUAUUGUAUUAUAAUAAAAAUAUAAAUUUUCUAUCAAUCAUGUGUGAUUUAAUUGGCUUUUCACUCAUAUAAAAAGUGAGAUGUCUCAAAUUCGAAUCACUUUCUACCACAAGUGACUUAGGGUUAAUGUUGUAUAAUCAACAAAAAAUAGGGAGAGCUUCAGAUAGAAUUUUAAAAUUUAAAAAAAAAAAAAAAACUGAAGAGUACUUCAGACAGGGCUCAUUUCAUGCGAGUAUUUCAUGGAGCAGCCCAAAUUAAUAAAAAAAAAAAAAAUUUUAAAUAUCUUUUGAAUAUCAAAUUAUAUUCACAUCCAGCGAGUGCUAUAUUUAUAGAUUUACAAAUAUAAUAUUUGAAAAAUUUAUAAUUAAAAUAAUUAAAAUUUAUUUAUUUAUUUAUUUUUUGAAUGAAUAAUAAUUUGACUAUAUUAUCAAUUCAGAAGUUCAGUAAUGUGAUUAAAUUAUGUUUAAUUUCACAUCAUUUAUAAUUAAUGUAUUUGGUAUAUACUCCUUUCUUUUUAAAAAAUAAGUGUCUUUUUUUAGCUCGACAUAUAUAUUAAGGAAUGCAAUCAAUAAUCUAAAUUUUGCAAAAAUAUUUAAAAUAUAUAUAUAUAUAUUUUAUAAAAUAUCAUUUUUAAUUUUCUCAAACUAAUAUUUAUGGAUAAAAUAACUUAUACUUGUGUACCGAGGACAUAGUUACUUAGUCCAAACCAAAAAAAAUUAUUAGAGUCAACAUACUCGAGAAAGAAAUGCAUCAUCUUAUGAAGGAAAAUAAAAUUUUAGUAGAAUAUUUAUUGCAAGUCCACGCAUUUUACAUUUUCACUCCAAAAUCCAAAUACAAAUGCUAAAAGCCAUCCAUUCAAGUUCAAUCCAACAAUAAUUUUAUUACCAAAGCCAAAACAAAUUUUGGCAUUCAUGGAAAAGAGGACAGAAAAAAAAAAAAGAAAACAGGCAAGAUCGAUGGGCAGUAAUUAGGUCAUGACUGAUGAAAUUUUAGUUCUAGGCAUCAGGAUUUGCGACAAGAUAGGCUUCAACAGCCUUGACAAAUCCAUCGGUCGUAUCCUCAGCCUCCUUGAUUUUGCUGGGAUCGAUCUCAGCGUUGCCCUUAGGGUAGUACUUGUUGGUGGCCUUGUAGAUGGAACCUCCGCCAGGAGUAGCUACUACUUCUGCCUCGUAUGUAGCUUUCUCUACUGUCUCUACCCAUGGUUCACCUUCAAAUGCAGUGUAGAUGUAUUUCAAAUUCCCUUCAUCUACUGCAUCUACCUUCACCUUUAAAUACACCCCAAACCCUGGAAAAAUGAAUGUUUUAGUAUUUAGUGAUCAUAAUGUAAAAAAAUCAAAUGUUCAAACUAAUUCUUUUUAAUCAACAACUAUUGCAAUACACCCGAAUAAAAUAAGUAAACAAACAAACCUUCUUUAAAGUCGGUUUGCUUAAUGGUUCCAACUCCUCCAUCUCCCUGAAGAAGCACGAUGCUUUUGAUGGACUGGGGGAGAAUUUUAGGGGCAUAGACAUGAGCUUCAAGGAGUAAGGCCUUGUACAACUUGGCUGGGGGGACUGCAGUGGCAAUCUCAGUCUGAGUAGUAAGAAUAGCCAUGGUAAUCCUUAAUUUGAAACAAAGUAAAAAUAUAGAAGAAGGUAUUAGGAAAUGUAUACUUGGUGUUUGUGGCGAAAAAUGCAAGAGCUAAGGGAGGUAUUUAUACACAGAUAACAAAGGAUUGGCAUUCACUCGCACUUGAGUCAAAAUGUGCAGGUUUUCAAUAUAAAUGUAAAUGCUAUCUUGAUUUGUUUUUGUUUAGCAUUUUUACAUUGCAGGUCUCUUGGCGCAGCUUGUUUCCUUUGACCAAGUGUAAUGGCGCUAGACAUAAAUUAUUCAAUUGAGGAUCAUGAUGUUAUUAAUUAUUAUUGUUAUUAUUGGUCCAUACCUUCAAGAUAUAUAUAAAUUAAGGUUCUUUAAUUAUUAAUAAUAUUGUUCAAUUUCUUUCUAGAUGGUCCAUUUUGACGGUGCUACAUUGUAAUAUAUUGUUACCUUUAUACACUUGGUUUGGAAUGGGUGAAAGAAAGUUUAUCCUCUCCCUUUUGUUAUAAAAUAAAAAAAAAAGAUAAUGUUAGAUACGAAUAUUAUAAAUACAUUUUUUUGCAUGAAUAAUAUAAAAAAAUAAAUCUAAAGAGAGAAAGGUGAUUGUGUUUGUUGCAUAUGUAAGACGUUAAAGAGAAGCCAGUAUUAUAGACCUUGGAACUUGCAACAUAAGAAAUUCCAAUGCCAGAGUACAAUUAAUUAUGAAUUAAUUUAUACUGAAAGCCCCCUAAUUAAUUUAUUAUAUUGUAAUAAUCACACAACUUUUAUUGAUAUAAUUAAUGAUUUACAUAAUUUUAUCGUAUUCUAAAAAAUAAUGUAGUGUUUUUAUCAAUCAGGUGUGUUUGUUUGGAUUAUAAGUGUUUUCAUCAAAUUACUGAAUCAGAAGAAGACUAUUAUAUUCUAUAAUCUAUAAUCUUAUUUCAAACGAAUAAAAAAAAUUAUGAAGAGAGCUUCUGUUGAUAGAAUCAAUUUUAAAAUUUAAAAAAAUAAAAAAAUUUUGCGAGUGCUUCAGACAGCGCACAUUCCAUAUGAGGAUUUCAUGGAGCAGCCCAAUUUUGUCGCACCUAAGCAACGUGGGACGCAUUAAGUACGUAUCGUCAUUUUUUUAAAAAUUAAUAAAAAAAAUAAGAUUUUAAAUGCCUUUGAAUAUCAAAUCACACCUAGUUAUUCACAUUUGUAGAUUAAAAAAAAUAUAUUUUUUAAUUUAUGGAGUAGUCGUCCUUAAAAAAUAACUGUAGUCAAGAGCAUUUGAAAUUAAGAUCUCUCACUCUUCACAUAAAUGAGAAAACAAAUCAGAUCACCACUUAAUUGGCCGUAAAUUAAAAAAUAUGGCAAUUGAGAAAUGUGUAAUUAAAAUAAUUAAGAAAUUUAAUUAUUUUUUAUUUAAUGAAUAAUAAUUACUAUAUUAUUAAUCCAAAAAAUUACAACAAUUAGAAUUUAUCAAUCCUUAAAAUAAAAAAAAUAUGAAAAAAAACAUAAUUAAAAAUUAUAUUUCGUUGAAUUAAUUAUUAUUCUAUUGUUUUGAGAUUUUUUUUGGUAAGUAACAUAAAUCUAUGUUAUUAAAUUAUUAAUUCUAAGCUAUGCAAAAUUAAUUGUACAUAUUAAUGAAAUUUUUUGGCCACAAACGGUAAAUAUGUCAUCUUCAUGGGCGGAGGGAUGGGACUGGGGAGGCCGGGCCCCUCUAAACUCUAGAAUUUUUCCUAUUUUUGCUUUAUAAUUUAAUAAAAAAAAUAUUUUUCUUCAUUUUGGUCCCUUGACUUUUAAAAUUUUUAUUUUGACCACUCUGAAUUCUAAAAUCUAACUCCCACCUGAUCAUCUUCUUUAUUUUGAUAAAUUUUUUUGAUAUUCACGACUUUCAGUAGGAUAGUAAGAAUUCAACUAAUAGUUAGAUGAAGAGGUUAGAAAUAGAAUAAUUUACUUGAAUAAAAUAAGUGUUCCUUUCGUUAAUAAGUUAAAUGUUAAAUUUUGCUUUUUCAUUUUUUUCAUAAUUGGAUAUGUAAUUCGAUUUGAAAUUGAUUUUUAAGUCAAUUUAGAUCAUAAAAUUUGAAUUUGUAAUUAAUUUAUCCUUUUUUUUUUUUUUCAAAAAGUAGUAAGAUAUUAAAUUUUUAUUUUUGAAAUAAUAAAAAUUAACAAUCGAAGACUAAAGAAAAAAAAAUGUAAAAUUAAAAGACAUUUUGUUUCGAUUCUUGUUUUCUUCUCCUCUUGGAUGAUAAGAUUGAGUUUCUGUCUAUUGUUAUUAUUAUUUUUAAAAUUUUGAAAGGAUAUUUAAAAAAGUAAUAUUAUAUAUACUAAAAAAAAAAGAAGUAAUAAUAUAUUACUUUUUUACCAAUAAUAAGAUACAUAGAGUCAAAACCUAAGUCUUAAAUUGAAGAUUUAAAUUCAACAUUUUCCCCUGUUACUUAGAUGGUAAGUGAUCUCAAAAUUUUAUAAGAGUAAGAAUACAAAUUUAAUUUUCAUAAUUACACUUUUACAUACAGCCCGAGAGAAAUUAUAACCCUAAAUAAAAAAAAAUAAAACUUAACAUAUAGUCAAAGUAUCAACUGUCUAGCAUUUGCGUCGACAGUGACAUAUAUAGAUACAUGGGCGAAACCAAAAUUAUUAGAUUAAACACAAUAUUAAUCAAGAACAAGAAAAUAUUAGUAGAAAUCGAAUAUUUAUUGCAAGUUCAAGGCAUUUUACAUUUUCACUCUCCAAAAUCCAAAAACAAAUACAAAUGCUAAAAGCCAUCCAUUCAACCCAAUACUGCAUACACAAACUUUAUUAUCAUGCCAAAAACACUCGUAGAAAAGAGAAAAAGAAACAAGCAAGAUCGAUGGGCAGUAAUUGGGACACGGCUUAUGAAAUUUUAGUUUCAGGCAUCAGGAUUUGCCACAAGAUAGGCUUCAACAGCCUUGACAAGUCCUUCGGUUUUUUCUUCAGCAUCCUUGAUUUUGCUGAUAUCGAUCUCAGCGUUGCCCUUAGGGUAGUACUUGUUGGUGGCCUUGUAGAUGGAUCCUCCGCCAGGAGCAGCUACUACUUGUGUCUCAUACGUAGCUUUUUCUACCGUAUCUACCCACGGCUCACCUUCAAACGCAGUGUAGACGAAUUUCAAGUUGGCUUCAUCUACUGCAUCUACCUUGACCUUUAAGUAGACUCCAAACCCUGCAUGUCGAAAAAAAAAAAUCAAAUAUUCAAAUUCUGAUGAACUAAUUCUUUUUAUAUCAACAGUUAUAUUGCAAUGCACCCAAAUAAACAAACAAACAGACAAACCUUCUACAAAGUUGGUUUUCUUAAUAGUUCCAGCACCUCCAUCUCCCUGAAGAAUAUCGAUGCUUUUGAUGAACUGGUGGAGAAUUUUAGGGGCAUAGACAUGAGCUUCAAAGAGUAAAGCCUUGAACAACUUGGCUGGGGGAACUGCAGUAGCAAUCUCAGUCUGAGUAGUAACAACAGCCAUGAUCUUUGAAGAAUAUAAAAAUAACGAGUAAGGUAAUGUAUGUUUGGUGGGUGUGGGGAAAUGCAAGAGCUAAGGAAGGUAUUUAUAGAUAGAGACAUCAAAGAAUUCGCACUCGCUCGCACUUAAAAGUCAAAUUUGCUGGCUAUAACUGUAGAUGCAAAUUCUAUCUUGAUUUGUUCUUGUUUGGCAUCUUUACAUUGGAGAUCUCCUGGCUCUGCAUGGUUUCUAUUGUCCAAGUGUAAUGGCGGGAGACAGAAAGUAUUCAAUUGAGGAUCAUGAUGAUAUUAAUUAUUAUUAUUAUUAUUAUUAUUAUUACUGUUAUUGGUUCACACAUUCUAGAUAUAGAAAUUAAGGUUCUUGGUCGGAGUUUUAAUAAUGUUGUUCAAAUACUUUUCUAGAUGGUCCAUUUUGACGUUCAUAUAUGUAUAUGAUGAAGUAGUAGUACUAUAUACUGUUACCUGUGUACACCUGGUUUGCAAUGGGUGAAAGAAACUUUAAUAAACUACGGCGAGCUAAAUGCUCAGAGGUUUAUCUCUCCUUUUUGUAAAUAAAAAACCAAAAAAAAAAAAAAAAUGCUAUGAUAAGAUAAAAAGUAUGGUCGGGUAAUGGUAUUUUUUUUAUAAUGUUUAAUAAUUUUGUAUUGUUUAAUUAUUCUUAGAAGAUAAUAUUAAUAUUUCGUUUGUUUCUGUAAAAUAACUUGUAAAAAAUAUUUUCCAAAUGAUUGAUUUUUUAUUGUUUGGUUGUAAUAUUUAAAAUUAGUUAAAAAUAUUAAUUAAAUUCUUUUUCUCAUAAGACCAUAAAAAUAUUAAUAAUAAUAGAAAUUUUAUAAUUUUAAAAUUUUAUUGUUAAAUAUGAGAAGAAUGAAAAAAAAAAUGUAAAUUAUGAAAGCUGCCGGUGGCCAGCGAUGGUGGUCGGUGGUAAAUGGUGACUGAUAGUAAUGACUAUGAUGAUUAAUAAAUUACAAAAAAUGUGGAUUUAUAAGGUUUAUCAACGUCCGGAAAAUGUUUUAUUAUCUCGAAAUUGAGAAGUUGUUUUCCUUAAAAAAUGACUUAUUUUUUUUUAAUCAGAAAAAUAUUUUCCGUUGAUUUAUUUUACUGAACGCCCCAAACAACAGAAAAUUGUGAAAAAUAUUUUUCUGCACGUUAUUUUACGGUAAUAAACGGAGGCUAAAUAUGAAUAAAUAUCUUUUUUCAUGAAAGUUUUUGUUUUAAAUAUAUAAAUUGAUUAAAAUUAUUUUUUAAUGAAAUAAUAUAGAUAAUAUAAAAAAUUAAAACUUUUAAGUCUUUUCAACAUUCCACUUUAGUGGGUUGAAAAUUUGAUGAUUUUGAGAUAUUUUAACCUAAAGCAAAAAUAAAAUAAAAUAAAAUAAAAAGCUGAGUUGAAAAUUUUUUAAUCUCCUUUCUUAAGAUUUCUUACAUGGGCCUUUGCCUAGUUAUAUAUGUAAAAAUAAAUUCUCAUUUCUCAAACACACUUAUUAAAUUUAAAGCAAACCAAAAAAUCACCUGAUUAGCUAAAUUAUACUUUAUUUUGAUAAUAUUUAUCUUGGAAAGAUAUUCACUUUCACGAGUAUUUAUAUAAUUUCUGAAAAUAAUUUUAAAAAUAAAAUUUUAAAUUCCAAAAUACUAACAACACGUUACCAUAUUAAAAGAAAAUAUAAUAAAUUGGUAUUUUAAUUUAAUUUAAACGUUAACAUCUUGAAAAUAUAAAAUCAAUGUAUUACAUUAUGGUUGGGGAAAAACAAAUUAUGGAAAAUUUUAAGACAGUUGAAUUAAGCACACCUCUAAGCAAAUCCUGAUGACUAUUAUGAAUAUUAUAUAUGUUUAAUUAAGAUUGUUAAGGUCAUCGGCAAAUCCGUAGUUAUCAAAAGUCAAUUAAGACCAAUAGUUUCUAUAUUGAUUAAUGAACUUAUGAGUAUAUAUUUAUAUAUAUGCAAUUUUUUGAAAGUAAUUUCAUUUAUAUAUAUAUAUAUGUGUGUGUGUGUGUUUCAGGAGUAAUAACAUGAAGAAAAUAGAAAAAGUUGAUGACAUUAUUAUAAAAAAAAAAAAAAGAAAACAGGCAAGAUCGAUGGGCAGUAAUUAGGUCAUGACUGAUGAAAUUUUAGUUUUAGGCAUCAGGAUUUGCCACAAGAUAGGCUUCAACAGCCUUGAUAAAUCCAUCGGUCAUAUCCUCAGCCUCCUUGAUUUUGCUGGGAUCGACCUCAGCGUUGCCCUUAGGGUAGUACUUGUUGGUGGCCUUGUAGAUGGACCCUCCGCCAGGAGUAGCUACUACUUCUGCCUCAUAUGUAACUUUCUCUACUGUCUGUACCCAUGGUUCACCUUCAAAUGCAGUGUAGAUGAAUUUCAAAUUCCCUUCAUCUACUGCAUCUACCUUCACCUUUAAAUACACCCCAAACCCUGGAACAAUGAAUGUUUUAGUAUUUAGGGAUCAUAAUGUAAAAUCAAAUGUUCAAACUAAUUCUUUUUAAUCAACAACUAUUGCAAGACACCCGAAUAAAAUAAGUAAGCAAACAAACCUUCUUUGGAGAAUUUUAGGGGCAUAGACAUGAGCUACAAGGAGAAAGGCCUUGUACAGCUUGGCUGGGGGGACUGCAGUAGCAAUCUCAGUCUGAGUAGAAAGAAUAGCCAUGGUAAUCCUUAAUUUGAAACAAAGUAAAAAUAUAGAAGAAGGUAUUAGGAAAUGUAUACUUGGUGUUUGUGUCGAAAAAUGCAAGAGCUAAGGGAGGUAUUUAUACACAGAUAACAAAGGAUUGGCAUUCACUCGCACUUGAGUCAAAAUGUGCAGGUUUGUAAUAUAAACGUAAAUGCUAUCUUGAUUUGUUUUUGUUUAGCAUUUUUAUAUUGCAGAUCUUUUGGCGCAGGUUGUUUCCAUUGACCAAGUGUAAUGGCGCUAGACAUAAAAUAAUCAAUUGAGGAUCAUGAUGUUAUUAAUUAUAAUUAUUGGUCCAUACCUUCUAGAUAUAUAUAAAUUAAGGUUCUUUAAUUAUUAAUAAUAUUGAUCAAUUACCUUCUAGAUGGUCCAUUUUGACGGUGCUAUAUUAUAACAUAUUGUUACCUUUAUACACUUGGUUUGGAAUGGGUGAAAGAAAGUUUAUCCUCUCCCUUUUGUUAAAAAAUAAUAAUAAAAAGAUAAUAUUAGAUAUGAAUAUUAUAAAUAUAUAUUUUUGCAUGAAUAAUAUAAAAAAUUAAAUCUAAAGAGAGAGAGGGGUGAUUGUGUUUGUUGCAUAUGUAAGAUGUUAAAGAGAAGCCAGUAUUAUAGACCAUGGAACUUGCAACAUAAGAAAUUCCAAUGCCAGAGUACAAUUAAUUAUGAAUUAAUUUAUACUGAAAGCCGCCUAAUUAAUUUAUUAUAUUGUAAUAAUCACACAACUUCUAUUGAUAUAAUUAAUGAUUUACAUAAUUUUAUUGUAUUCUAACAAAUAAUAUAAUGUUUCUAUCAAUCAGGUGUGUUUGUUUCGACUAUAAAUGUUUUUAUCAAAUUAGUAAAUCAGAAGAAAACUACUGUAUUCUAUAAUCCAUAAUAUUAUUUCGGCAUCGUGUAACGAAUAAAAAAAAUUAUAAGAGAGCUUCUGUUGAUAGGAUCAAUUUUAAAAUUAAAAUAAAUAAAUAAAUUUUGGAGUACUUCAGACAGCGCACAUUUCAUACGAGGAUUUCAUGGAGAAGCCCAAUUUCGUCGCUCCUAAGCAACGUGGGACGCAUUAAGUAGGUAUCUUCAUUUUUUAAAAAAUUAAUAACAAAAAUAAGAUUUUAAAUGCCUUUGACUAUCAAAUCACAUCUAGUUAUUCACAUUUGUAGAUUUAAAAAAUAUAUAUUUUUUAAUUUAUGGAAGGGCUAUAUAAUAAGGGUAGUCGUCUUUAAAAACUACCUGUAGUAAAGAGGAUUUGAAAUUAAAAUCUCCCACUCUUUACAUAAGUGAUAAAACAAAUCAGACCAUUACUUGAUUGGCUGUAAAUUUAAAAAUAUGGCACUUGAGAAAUGUGUAAUUAAAAUAAUUAAAAAUCUUAUUUUUUAUUUAAUGAAUAAUAAUUUGACUAUAUUAUUAAUCAAAAAAUUACAACAAUUAGAAUUUAUCAAUCCUUAAAAUAAAAAAAAAAUAUGAAAAAAAACAUAAUUAAAAAUUAUAUUUCUUUGAAUUAAUUAUUAUUCUAUUGUUUUGAGAUUUUUUUUGUAAGUAACGUAAAUCUAUGUUAUUAAAUUAUUAAGUCUAAGCUAUGCGAAAUUAAUUGUACACAUUAAUGAAAUUUUUUGGCCACAUACGGUAAAUAUGUCAUCUUCAUGGGCGGAGGGAUGGGGCUGGGGAGGCCGGGCCCCUCUAAACUCUAGAAUUUUUCCUAUUUUUGCUUUAUAAUUUAAUAAAAAAAAUAUUUUUCUUUAUUUUGGUCCCUCGACUUUUAAAAUUUUUAUUUUAACCUCUCUAAAUUCUAAAAUCUAACUCCGUCCUGAUCAUCUUCUUUAUUAUGAUAAAUUUUUUUCAUAUUCAUGACUUUCAGUAAAACAGUAAGAAUUCAACUAAUGAUUAGAUGAGGAGGUUAGAAGUAGAAUUAUUUACUUGAAUAUAAUAAGUGUUCCUUUCGUUAAUAAGUUAAAUGCUAAAUUUUGCUUUUUCAUUUUUUCAUAAUUGGAUAUGUAAUUCGAUUUGAAAUUGAUUUUUAAGUCAAUUUAGAUCAUAAAAUUUGAAUUUAUAAUUAAUUUAUCCUUUUUUUUUUUUUCAAAAAGUAGUAAGAUAUUAAAUUUUUACUUUUGAAAUAAUAAAAAUUAACAAUCGAAGAUUAAAGAAAAAAAAAUGUAAAAUUAAAAGACAUUUUGUUUCUAUUCUUGUUUUCUUCUCCUCUUGGAUGAUAAGAUUGAGUUUCUGUCUAUUGUUAUUAUUAUUUUUAAAAUUUUGAAAGGAUAUUUAAAAAAGUAAUAUUAUAUAUACUAAAAAAAAAAGAAGUAAUAAUAUAUUACUUUUUUACCAAUAAUAAGAUACAUAGAGUCAAAACCUAAGUCUUAAAUUGAAGAUUUAAAUUCAACAUUUUCUCCAGUUACUUGGAUGAUAAGUGAUCUCAAAAAUUUAUAAGAGUAAGAAUACAAAUUUAAUUUUCAUAAUUACACUUUCGAGAGAAAUUAUAACCCUAAAUAAAAAAAAGAAUAAAUCUUAACAUAUAGUCAAAGUAUCAACUGUCUAGCAUUUGCGUCGACAGUGACAUAUAUAGAUACAUGGGCGAAACCCCAAAAUUAUUAGAUUAAACACAACAUUAAUCAAGAACAAGAAAAUAUUAGUAGAAAUAGAAUGUUUAUUGCAAGUCAAGGCAUUUUACAUUUUCACUCUCCAAAAUCCAAAAACAAAUACAAAUGCUAAAAGCCAUCCAUUCAACCCAAUACUGCACACACAAACUUUAUUAUCAUGCCAAAAACACUCGUAGAAAAGAGAAAAAGAAACAAGCAAGAUCGAUGGGCAGUAAUUGGGACACGGCUUAUGAAAUUUUAGUUUCAGGCAUCAGGAUUUGCCACAAGAUAGGCUUCAACAGCCUUGACAAGUCCUUCGGUCUUCUCUUCAGCAUCCUUGAUUUUGCUGAUAUCGAUCUCAGCGUUGCCCUUAGGGUAGUACUUGUUGGUGGCCUUGUAGAUGGAUCCUCCGCCAGGAGCAGCUACUACUUGUGUCUCAUACGUAGCUUUUUCUACCGUAUCUACCCACGGCUCACCUUCAAACGCAGUGUAGACGAAUUUCAAGUUGGCUUCAUCUACUGCAUCUACCUUGACCUUUAAGUAGACUCCAAACCCUGCAUGUCGAAAAAAAAAAAAUCAAAUAUUCAAAUUCUGAUCAACUAAUUCUUUUUAUAUCAACAGUUAUAUUGCAAUGCACCCAAAUAAACAAACAAACAGACAAACCUUCUACAAAGUUGGUUUUCUUAAUAGUUCCAGCACCUCCAUCUCCCUGAAGAAUAUCGAUGCUUUUGAUGAACUGGUGGAGAAUUUUAGGGGCAUAGACAUGAGCUUCAAAGAGUAAAGCCUUGAACAACUUGGCUGGGGGAACUGCAGUAGCAAUCUCAGUCUGAGUAGUAACAACAGCCAUGAUCUUUGAAGAAUAUAAAAAUAACGAGUAAGGUAAUGUAUGUUUGGUGGGUGUGGGGAAAUGCAAGAGCUAAGGAAGGUAUUUAUAGAUGGAGACAUCAAAGAAUUCGCACUCGCUGGCACUUAAAAGUCAAAUUUGCUGGCUAUAACUGUAGAUGCAAAUUCUAUCUUGAUUUGUUC